This 24-nucleotide non-coding RNA is filed under the name Arabidopsis thaliana (thale cress). The record is from RNAcentral. Lineage: Eukaryota; Viridiplantae; Streptophyta; Magnoliopsida; Brassicales; Brassicaceae.
GUAAGUAGUUGUGCAUAUGCCACA